RNAcentral lists this ribosomal RNA (254 nucleotides) under uncultured bacterium. Its description in RNAcentral is "partial 16S ribosomal RNA". It matches the Rfam family "Bacterial small subunit ribosomal RNA", at positions 524 to 776 of the family's 1533-position model. The record is from RNAcentral.
UACGAAGGGGGCUAGCGUUGCUCGGAAUCACUGGGCGUAAAGCGCACGUAGGCGGACUCUUAAGUCGGUGGUGAAAUCCUGGAGCUCAACUCCAGAACUGCCUUUGAUACUGGGAAGCUUCGAGUCCGGAAGAGGUGAGUGGAACUGCGAGUGUAGAGGUGAAAUUCGUAGAUAUUCGCAAGAACACCAGUGGCGAAGGCGGCUCACUGGUCCGGUACUGACGCUGAGGUGCGAAAGCGUGGGGAGCAAACAGG